Long non-coding RNA from Etheostoma spectabile (orangethroat darter), 258 nucleotides. RefSeq lists it as uncharacterized. The transcript has 3 exons. NCBI's taxonomy places the organism in Eukaryota, Metazoa, Chordata, Actinopteri, Perciformes, Percidae. The record is from RefSeq and is a predicted model, not a curated record.
UGUGUGUUUAGCAGAGAAGGAGCAGUCCAACAUGUUAAGGCCAUUUUAUGGUACUGCGUAGAAUCGACAGCGUACCCCAGCAGACCCCUCUGUGUCUACGCCGGACCCUACACCGUAACCUGACCUGCACCUCUCGAAAAAUGUAACAUGGCCACGAAGGACGCUCGGUAGCGUUGCCCCCCCCCUUCUUCAUAAACAACGUGAAAUCGGGCAGAGGGUUAACUGUUCCUGCUCCAGAUUUCCCACCGUGAUCAGAAA